Molecule: long non-coding RNA, 870 nt
Filed under: Mytilus galloprovincialis (Mediterranean mussel)
Lineage: Eukaryota; Metazoa; Mollusca; Bivalvia; Mytilida; Mytilidae
Source: RNAcentral
AACGGCUGGAUCUCAGAAACCUAUAGACUUCACCGUGGUAUAAAACAAGGAUAUCCGUUAAGUUCUCUUAUUUUUGUAAUAGCAGUUGAAAUCUUGGCCUGUAGAGUAAGACAAGAUUCUAACAUUAAAGGAUUUCAAAUUAAACUUGAUGAAAAAACACAUAGUCUAAAAAUUUCCCAAUUAGCUGAUGAUACAACCCUCUUUCUCAGUUCUAAAAAUGAAAUUCACCAAGCAUUGAACCUAAUAGAAAUAUUUGGAACGCUUUCUGGUUUAAAACUGAAUAAAUCUAAAACAGAAGGUAUAUGGUUGGGUAGACUUAAACAUUGUAAAGAAAAAAUUGAAAAUAUACACUGGAGCAAGGAACCAAUUAAAAGUUUAGGUGUUUACUUUGGAUUAAAUAAAAGUGAAUGUGACAAAUUAAAUAUUGAAAAAACAAUGAAACAGUCAAAAAAAUUAAUACUUGAUUGGGAAAAAAGAAAUUUAACAAUGAUAGGUCGAAUAACAGUUGUUAAGUCGCUUAUUUUACCUAAUCUUACUUUUUUAGCUUCGGUUGUUUCAAUACCCCAAAUGUACAUAAAAGAUUUUAAAAAACUCAUAUACAAUUUUAUAUGGAAUAAUAAACAAGAAAAGGUAAAACGUUCAACACUUACCAAAGAUUACACAAAUGGAGGUCUAAAAAUGACAGACAUUGAUUACUUUUUGAAUGCAUUACAAAUUUCAUGGGUUAAACGAUUAACCGCAAAAGAAUUUGCUAAUUGGAAAGUCAUUCCAACAUAUUAUUUCAAUAAAUUUGGUAAAAACAACCUUAUAUUUCAUAUGAUGCCUGACAACAUAAAAUCAUUACCUAAUUUAAGUAAUAUACUACCCUCA